AGAGUUUGCACUCCCGGCUCAGAAUGACCGCUGGGGGGAGGAUUAACACAUGCACGUCGAGCGCACUCUUCGUAGUGAGCGGGAGACGGUUGACAUAACGCCGUGGGAAUCUACCCNACUCUACGGUAUACCUCAGGGAAUCUUGUGCUAAUACCCAAUACGCCCUUCGGGGGAACGCACUUAUCGGCUGUUGGUNUGAUCCCGGCGUUGGAUUUAGCUAGUNGCCGGNUGNAUAGNCCUACCAANCAGCNGGAUCCCAUAGCUUNGUCUUGAGAGGGAUNACCAGGCACAACUGGGGACUUGAGAGAACGAGNCCCNGACU
RNAcentral lists this ribosomal RNA (322 nucleotides) under uncultured methane-seep sediment bacterium SB-10. RNAcentral describes it as "partial 16S ribosomal RNA". It matches the Rfam family "Bacterial small subunit ribosomal RNA", at positions 8 to 337 of the family's 1533-position model. The record is from RNAcentral.